UACAGAGGCCUCGAGCGUUAGGCGGAAUCACUGGGCUUAAAGCGUGUGUAGGCGGAUUGGUAAGUACCUUGUGAAAUCCCACGGCUUAACCGUGGAACUGCUCGGUAUACUGCUGAUCUUGAGCCACUCAGGGGCUACCGGAACAAAUGGUGGAGCGGUGAAAUGCGUAGAUAUCAUUUGGAACGCCAAUGGUGAAAACAGGUAGCUGGGGGUGUGCUGACGCUGAGACACGAAAGCCAGGGGAGCGAACGGG
Molecule: ribosomal RNA, 253 nt
Filed under: uncultured bacterium
Lineage: Bacteria
Description: partial 16S ribosomal RNA
Rfam family: Bacterial small subunit ribosomal RNA
Source: RNAcentral